UAUCCGUAGGUGAACCUGCGGAAGGAUCAUUAAUGAGUUGUCAUGGGGUUCGAUGCUGGCAGCCAGUUUUUGGAUGCAUGUGCUUGCCCUAACAAUCAUCUUCUUCCAAACACCUGUGCACAUUUUUGAGGGAGUCUUGAGUUUGUUGCCGCUCUUGGGUGAUUUUCUCACAUUCCCUUAAAUCAUUAUACGCUAUUAACAAUGUUGCACGUGCUCUGUGCCGCAAGGCCAUUAAUAUAAUACAACUUUUAACAACGGAUCUCUUGGCUCUC
RNAcentral lists this unclassified non-coding RNA (272 nucleotides) under plant metagenome. RNAcentral describes it as "partial contains small subunit ribosomal RNA, internal transcribed spacer 1, and 5.8S ribosomal RNA". The record is from RNAcentral.